CUCCUCUUAAGGGAAAAAUGUCAGUUGUACUUUACACUUAAUUUAGGUAGGUUAAAAAUUGAUGGGAAAGAAUUUCAGGUGGAAGUUCCAGCUGAUUUUCGAUCACACCCUCAUCCAUCUUAUCACAAUGUUGACUACAUAUCUUACAUGGAAAGUGACAAGUGUUACAUUUAUACAGAUAGUUCCAAAUCAAAUGAUGGAGUGGAGUCAAUCUUUUCCGUUAUCCGAGGUAGGAAAGUUUUACAGUGUUCGGAUUUUAAAGUUAAUCCCAACUGUAUUAUAGUUCAGGCAGAAUUACUUGCAG
Molecule: long non-coding RNA, 304 nt
Filed under: Androctonus crassicauda
Lineage: Eukaryota; Metazoa; Arthropoda; Arachnida; Scorpiones; Buthidae
Source: RNAcentral